AUACGGAGGGGGCUAGCGUUGUUCGGAAUUACUGGGCGUAAAGCGUACGUAGGCGGACUGAUCAGUUGGGGGUGAAAUCCCAGGGCUUAACCCUGGAACUGCCUUCAAUACUGUCAGUCUUGAGAUUGGAAGAGGUGAGUGGAAUUCCUAGUGUAGAGGUGAAAUUCAUAGAUAUUAGGAGGAACACCAGUGGCGAAGGCGGCUCACUGGUCCAAUACUGACGCUGAGGUACGAAAGCGUGGGGAGCAAACAGGAUUAGAAACCCUGGUAGUCC
RNAcentral lists this ribosomal RNA (274 nucleotides) under uncultured bacterium. RNAcentral describes it as "partial 16S ribosomal RNA". It matches the Rfam family "Bacterial small subunit ribosomal RNA", at positions 523 to 796 of the family's 1533-position model. The record is from RNAcentral.